This is a long non-coding RNA of Perognathus longimembris pacificus (Pacific pocket mouse), 370 nucleotides long. RefSeq lists it as uncharacterized. The transcript is spliced from 5 exons. Lineage: Eukaryota; Metazoa; Chordata; Mammalia; Rodentia; Heteromyidae. The record is from RefSeq and is a predicted model, not a curated record.
AGGAAAAUGUGUUACUAUUGAGAAUAUCUCUAGCCUCCAACAGAAAUCCUAUCAACUAUUUUCUUGAUAGUCAAAUGACAACACUCCAUUUGCCACCUGUGACAAAUGAGAUUUCUAAUAUCAUUUGAGGAAAGAAGACCUUAAUCACAGAGAACGUUCAACCUGGUAAUCUAUAGUCAUAACAUAGAUACUUGGCAGGCCCUUUUUGAAUGUAAUAAUGAAAUCACAACUUAAAUAAACUCGAUCCAAUUUCCCAAAGAACCUUAAGGAAUCAUGAUUAGCUAUGAUAAGAGAUCCACUUCCACAAGACCAUCACAGCAGGACGAGAGGACAACAGAGAUCCUGUAAAGAACCCUUGGUGUUCAUACAA